AGAUGAUUAGGGUGAAGUCGUAACAAGGUAGCCGUAGGAGAACCUGCGGCUGGAUCACCUCCUUUCUAAGGAA
RNAcentral lists this ribosomal RNA (73 nucleotides) under Weissella paramesenteroides. Its description in RNAcentral is "partial 16S ribosomal RNA". The stretch from base 1 to 65 matches the Rfam family "Bacterial small subunit ribosomal RNA", at positions 1469 to 1533 of the family's 1533-position model. Lineage: Bacteria; Bacillati; Bacillota; Bacilli; Lactobacillales; Lactobacillaceae. RNAcentral also lists the same sequence under 1 other name. The record is from RNAcentral.